AAUCUUCCGCAAUGGACGAAAGUCUGACGGAGCAACGCCGCGUGAGUGAUGAAGGUUUUCGGAUCGUAAAACUCUUCUGUUAGGGAAGAACACGUAUCGGAGUCACUGCCUGUACCUUGACUGUACCUGACGAUAAAGCCACCGCUCACUACGUGCCAGCCGCCGCGGUAAUAUGUAGGUGGCAAGCGUUGUCCGGAUUUAUUGGGCGUAAAGCGCGCGCAGGCGGUCUUUUAAGUCUGAUGUGAAAUCUUACAGCUUAACUGUAAGCGGUCAUUGGAAACUGGGAGACUUGAGUGCAGAAGAGGAGAGUGGAAUUCCAUGUGUAGCGGUGAAAUGCGUAGAGAUAUGGAGGAACACCAGUGGCGAAGGCGGCUUUCUGGUCUGUAACUGACGCUGAGGCGCGAAAGCGUGGGGAGCAAACA
This 422-nucleotide ribosomal RNA is filed under the name uncultured bacterium. RNAcentral describes it as "partial 16S ribosomal RNA". It matches the Rfam family "Bacterial small subunit ribosomal RNA", at positions 360 to 774 of the family's 1533-position model. The record is from RNAcentral.